CCUACGGGUGGCAGCAGUGAGGAAUAUUGGUCAAUGGGCUUACGCCUGAACCAGCCAAGUCGCGUGAGGGAAGACGGUCCUAUGGAUUGUAAACCUCUUUAGGCGGGGAGCAAUGCCGGGCACGCGUGCCCGGAGGGAGAGUACCCGCAGAAUAAGCAUCGGCUAACUCCGUGCCAGCAGCCGCGGUAAUACGGGGGAUGCCAGCGUUAUCCGGAUUUAUUGGGUUAAAGGUGUGCGUAGGGGGAUUUUUAAGUCAGCGGUAAAAUGUCCGGGCUCAACCCGGGCCGGCCGUUGAAACUGGGGAUCUAGAGUGGGCGAGAGGUAUGCGGAAUGCGUGGUGUAGCGGUGAAAUGCAUAGAUAUCGGGAGGAACACUCGUGGCGAAGGCGGGUUCCUGGACAUUAACUGACGCUGAGGCACGAAGGCCAGGGGAGCGAAAGGGAUUAGAUACCCUGGUAGUC
RNAcentral lists this ribosomal RNA (460 nucleotides) under uncultured bacterium. Its description in RNAcentral is "partial 16S ribosomal RNA". It matches the Rfam family "Bacterial small subunit ribosomal RNA", at positions 338 to 795 of the family's 1533-position model. The record is from RNAcentral.